RNAcentral lists this ribosomal RNA (688 nucleotides) under Clostridiales bacterium. RNAcentral describes it as "bacterial SSU rRNA". It matches the Rfam family "Bacterial small subunit ribosomal RNA", at positions 1 to 710 of the family's 1533-position model. Lineage: Bacteria; Bacillati; Bacillota; Clostridia; Eubacteriales. The record is from RNAcentral.
CUUAAGAGUUUGAUUCUGGCUCAGGAUGAACGCUGGCGGCGUGCUUAACACAUGCAAGUCGAACGAGGGCGAUAGCAAUAUUGCCCGAGUGGCGGACGGGUGAGUAACGCGUGAACAAUCUGCCUGUAUCAGGGGAAUAACACUAAGAAAUUGGUGCUAAUACCGCAUAAGACCACGGAGAGGCAUCUCUACGGGGUAAAAGAUUUAUCGGAUACAGAUGAGUUCGCGUCCCAUUAGGUAGUUGGUGAGGUAACGGCUCACCAAGCCGACGAUGGGUAGCCGACCUGAGAGGGUGAUCGGCCACAUUGGAACUGAGAGACGGUCCAGACUCCUACGGGAGGCAGCAGUGGGGAAUAUUGGGCAAUGGAGGGAACUCUGACCCAGCAACGCCGCGUGAGUGAAGAAGGUUUUCGGAUUGUAAAACUCUUUAAGCGGGGACGAAGAAAGUGACUGUACCCGCAGAAUAAGCAUCGGCUAACUACGUGCCAGCAGCCGCGGUAAUACGUAGGAUGCAAGCGUUAUCCGGAAUGACUGGGCGUAAAGGGUGCGUAGGUGGUUUGUCAAGUUGGCAGCGUAAUUCCGUGGCUCAACCGCGGAACUACUGCCAAAACUGAUAGGCUUGAGUGCGGCAGGGGUAUGUGGAAUUCCUAGUGUAGCGGUGGAAUGCGUAGAUAUUAGGAGGAACACC